CCCAUUAAUCCUUAGGAUAUCAGAAAUACACAAAUCUUCCCCUGGUUCUACCUCCACCAGCCCCACAGAUCGGAGUACAAGCAACUCUGACACCACAACAUCUCUGAUGACCGAGGUUCUCAACUGCACCCCAGGCACAACACCAGGUCCUACUACGUUCCCAGGCACCACAGCAACAACCACAACUUCUCCUUCCUCCACCUCCACCAGUCCUGGAGAUCAGAGAAACACUCAGUCUGAAAGUACUACGACUGUGACAACCCAGGCUGUCACCAAUACCCAGGGGACAACAGCAGCUGCCUCUACUUUCCAAGGGAUCUCAGCAAUAGCCACAAAUUCCGCUGGCUCCACCUGCACCAGCCCGACACAUCAGAGUACAACCAACUUUGACAGCACAAUGUCUCUCAUUACCCAGGUUACAACCUCCACCCAAGGGACAACAGCACAUCCUACUACUUUCCCAGGGACCUCAACAACAGCCACAAAUUCUCCUAGCUCUACCUCCAACAGUCCUGGAAAUCAGAGUACCACUCAGUCUGAAAGUACUAUGACUGUGACAACACAAACUGUUACCACUACACAAGGGACAACAGCACCUGACACUAGUUUCUCAGGGGCCUCAGAGAGAGUCACAUCUUCCGCAGUGUCCACUUCAACCAGGCCCACAAAUCAGAUUACCACCCAGUCUGAUACUACUCUGACUGUGACAACCCAGGCUAUCACCACUACUGCAGGGACAACAGCAGCUGCCUCUACUUUUCCAGGAAGAUCAGCAACAGCCACAACUUCGCCUGGUUCCACCUCCAACACUCCCACAGACCAGAGUACAAGCAAGUCUGACAGCACAACGACUCUAAUAACUCAGGCUAUCAGCUCCACCCCAGAGACAAGAGCAGCUAAUACUACUUUCACAGAGACCUCAGCAACAGUCACAACUUCCCCUAGUUCCACCUCCAUCAGCCCCACAGAUCGCAGUACCACUCAUUCUCAAAGUAUUACGACUCUGACAACACAGGCUCUCACCAAUACCCAGGGGACAACAGCAGCUGACUCUACUUUCCCAGGGAUCUCAGCAACAGCUACAACUUCCCCUGGUUCCACCUCCAUCACCCCCACAGAUCAGAAUACAAGCAACUCUGACACCACAACGACUCUGAUGACCGAGGCUGUCACCUCCACCCCGGGGACAACAGCAGCUCCUACUACUUUCCCAGGGACCUCAGAAACAGCCACAACUUCCCCUACUUCCAC
RNAcentral lists this long non-coding RNA (1251 nucleotides) under Phascolarctos cinereus (koala). RNAcentral's name for it is "lncRNA (ENSPCIG00000031159.1)". Lineage: Eukaryota; Metazoa; Chordata; Mammalia; Diprotodontia; Phascolarctidae. The record is from RNAcentral.